AUGGUGAACUCGCUUGGACAGAAAGGAGUGGUAGCAGCAGUAUGCAGGGAUCGAGAUGGUAUUUAUUUGGGCUCCUCUGUUCUGGUGUUUGCAAACUCCACUAAUCCUUCCACUUUGGAGGUUUACGCGGCUCGAGAGGCACUGGCACUAGCAGCAGACCUUAAUUUACAGAGGAUACACAUUGCUUCAGAAUGCGACAGGGUGAUCAAGGAUAUCCGGGAUGGAUCUGAUGGAGAGCAGGGCGCCAUCAUAAAGGAGAUCAUUAUCACUAGGAAUACUUUUGAUUUCUGUAGUUUUAAUUAUGAGAGUAGUUUGUUUAAUUUUGAAUCUCAUAUUCUUGCCAAAUUUGGUUGUAAUCUUGGGCCUGGCCGACAUCUUUGGUUGGGAUCACCCCAUGACCAAAACCUUGUACCUAUGAACAUUGAGAUGAAUCAAUAA
This 438-nucleotide ribosomal RNA is filed under the name Triticum aestivum (bread wheat). RNAcentral describes it as "partial small subunit ribosomal RNA". The record is from RNAcentral. Lineage: Eukaryota; Viridiplantae; Streptophyta; Magnoliopsida; Poales; Poaceae.